Molecule: long non-coding RNA, 435 nt
Organism: Perca flavescens (yellow perch)
Lineage: Eukaryota; Metazoa; Chordata; Actinopteri; Perciformes; Percidae
Exons: 3
Source: RefSeq, a predicted model, not a curated record
ACAGCCAUCAUUGAGUCCAUCCUCCAUCACCAUCUGCAGCUGCCUGUGUGGUGGGAAGUAAAAGAGGAGGACAAGGAUGAGGAAGAGGAGCUGUUCCUCUCUGGUGGGCGAUGACAUCCCAGCACCUGCGCGGAGACAGGAGCAGCUGAGGAGAUCCAUCCAGGGGGCAGUUUGUUUUCCAGAGAGGAGCGGCAACGGCGGCGGGCCCCUUGAUUUAUUAGAACCGUGAGCCGAGCGACCGUGAUGAAGUGCAUUUCCACUUUAAAAAAGACUACACAGCUUCGUCUGGAGAGGGGAGGAAGAAAGUCAAAGAGCGGAGAAACACACGGGGAGAGAACAGUCUCGUGACGGAGAAGAGAAGAGAGAUACGACAGACAUGCAUCGAGUUUUUAGUUUAUCCAAUUAUAAAAAGCAUUUUCAAAUUCCAUAUUUUAU